Dasypus novemcinctus (nine-banded armadillo) is the source of this 134-nucleotide small nucleolar RNA. Lineage: Eukaryota; Metazoa; Chordata; Mammalia; Cingulata; Dasypodidae. The record is from Ensembl.
UGUCCUCUGCCUUACUCCAGGGGCUUUUUUGCCUGUAGAGUGCCCUGGCAUUGCCUGAGGACAGAGGAAAAAGCACAUGUCCCUCCCCAGUAAGAACCUGCUUUCUUUUGGGGUCUACACAUUGAGCUGACAGG